AACCCAGGGGGUGGGGAACAAAAGAGGGGCCGGGCGGCGGGGCCGCAGCGGGGAGCUGCAAGGAGCCGACGUCGGGAGUCCGGGGGGCCGGGGUCUCCGGCGGGGUCGGGCCCGGGGCGGGGGCGCCGGACGGCGGGGCCCAACGGGCCGCGGCCUGACAGAGCCGAGGCGGCGGGGACCCCGCGAGGCGGCCGGACCGGGCCGCCCCCAGCUCAGGCCUCCCGCGCGCGCCCCGCUCCCCCCGAAACUUCUCCUGGAGCCCGCGCCGGCCUCCCGGCAGCCGCCGGCCUCUCCCGGCGCACACACGCACUCUCGGACGAGCCAACUCACCCGGACCCCGGGGAACUCAUCGUCCAGCCCUCGGCGCGGAGCGGGGUGGGCGCGGCGAGCCGCCGGGGCGCGGCGGGGGCCCGACUCGGCCUCCGCCCUCGGCGUGCAGCGGCCCCGGCCCGGUCGCCCCUCGAGCGGCCGUGCGAUCCUCGUCUCGCGCGGACGGACGCGCCGGAGCCCGAGCCUUCCUGCCCUUUCUCCCCGCCCUCCUCCCUCCUCCUUCGCCGAGAGCCAGCAGGCGGAUUCCAAUCUCGGCAGCCGCCGCCGCCGCCGCCACUGCCGCCGCCGCCGACACUCGUAGGGGUGGGGGGGCGGCGCGGGCGCGGGGGCCUGGGGGAGGGGCGGGCCUCCGCGGGACUCGGCGCCGCGCGCGCGCACUGGGAAGACGCCCGCCCCGCCCCGGACACGAAAGGAGCCGAGCGCGCGGCGGAAGCGCCCGAAGGGUCCCCGAGGUCCGGCGCCCCGCUGCCGGGGAAGAGGGCCCGCAGCCGGCAAGGGGGCGCCGGGCUGCGGUGGGGGGACUUCUCCUCCGUGCGGCCCCACCGGCCCCUCCCCACCAGGCAGCCCUACCGCCGCCGUGGCAGGGCCGGCUGGUCUCCGGGAGCCGCGACCCACCGACGCCGCGUGCGGGAUGCACAUGACGGAGCGCGGUGGAGGAGCGCGGACACCGCGGACGCGGUCUGGGCCCUCCCGCGUCCCUUCGCGUGGACCCCCUCUGCGAUACGCUCUAAUGCUCCACGUGGGCGCCAGCACUCACACGCCACGGCGGGGAAUUGCCGGGUCGUGGUAGUGGUCGUGGCGACAAAGAAAGGGAAAUGUAGCCACACCGCUUCCAUUAUCCACCCACCGCUCCCCGGCUUCUUGGUCUGGGCUCUCUGCCAGGGUGCCGAGGCCUAG
Molecule: long non-coding RNA, 1227 nt
Filed under: Felis catus (domestic cat)
Lineage: Eukaryota; Metazoa; Chordata; Mammalia; Carnivora; Felidae
Description: lncRNA (ENSFCAG00000048520.1)
Source: RNAcentral